RNAcentral lists this unclassified non-coding RNA (2412 nucleotides) under Leishmania donovani. RNAcentral describes it as "gene:LdHU3.12.1430(CDS-product:N-acyl-L-amino_aci d_amidohydrolase)". Lineage: Eukaryota; Euglenozoa; Kinetoplastea; Trypanosomatida; Trypanosomatidae. The record is from RNAcentral.
GCACAGAUGCAAGCACAUCACUCAUACUGUUGCGAGAUACCUGCUCGGCGUGUGCACGUGCACGACCCACCGCCGCCCACGCCGUUUUCUUUUCAUACCACGGCUCCUCUUCUUUUCUCUGCGGUUUGCCUCUCUUGCGGCCGACCGCCGAACGAUCCUCCUUAAAUGGCCUUCAGCUCCUGAGGAGCACUGCGUGUGCUUGAUUGCUGUGCCGAUGUGGUGCCGCUCAUCUUGCCUCUCUCACUCUCUGCGCGUCUUUCCGGGCGUGAAGAACCCGAUCGGUGCUUUCCCCGCUACUGAGUCUCCACUUUACUUUUCCAUCUCUCUCUCUCUCUUGACCCUUUCCCUUCCUCCCCAACCCAAGAUCACCGGUCAUGGCUGACUUCCAUGUCUUCAUGGCAGAUAACGCCGUUGCCAAGGAUGAGCCCAUCGCGGGGUGCCGGGACAUUCAUCAGUGCCACUAGCCGUCGUCCCAGGAGCGCCAGAGAACCGCGCACGUCAGGUCUGUCCUGGCUGUUCUUGAGUGAGUGCUGCUGAGCAUAGCGCAGCCUGUUCCUGAUUGCUGUGCUGGAGGCGCUGGUGGGGACUUGGAUGGAUGGAUGGGUGAAUGGAUGGGUGAAUGGAUGGAUCAAUGGAUGGGUGAAUGGAUGGAUGGAUGGAUGGGUGAAUGGAUGGAUGGAUGGGUGAUGGAUGGAUGGAUGGAUGGGUGAAUGGAUGGAUGGAUGGAUGGAUGGAUGGGUGAAUGGGUGAAUGGAUGGAUGGAUGGAUGGAUGGGUGAAUGGGUGAAUGGAUGGAUGGAUGGAUGGAUGGGUGAAUGGGUGAAUGAAUGGAUGGAUGGAUGGAUGGGUGAAUGGGUGAAUGAAUGGAUGGAUGGAUGGGUGAAUGGAUGGAUGGAUGGGUGAAUGGAUGGAUGGAUGGAUGGAUGGGUGAAUGGGUGAAUGAAUGGAUGGAUGGAUGGAUGGAUGGGUGAAUGGGUGAAUGGAUGGAUGGAUGGAUGGAUGGAUGGAUGGAUGGGUGAAUGGAUGGAUGGAUGGAUGGAUGGAUGGAUGGGUGAAUGGGUGAAUGGAUGGAUGGAUGGAUGGAUGGGUGAAUGGGUGAAUGGAUGGAUGGAUGGAUGGAUGGGUGAAUGGGUGAAUGAAUGGAUGGAUGGAUGGAUGGAUGGAUGGAUGGGCUGCGCACUGACAUGAACGCAUUGCCGCAGCAGGAGACGGACAUUCGGCUCAAGUCGAGCUGCAAAAUGUGGUGCUAGCGUGUGGGCAGGAGCUGCACGAUGCAAUGGUGCGCGGCAUCGCCAAGGCGCUGCGCGUGCAUGCGAGCGAGAUCGAGGACACAACACGGCUCCUCUCCUAGAACGCGGAGGGGGACUGCCUACUGGCGGCACGACGGGAGCUGGUGAAGGCUGGCGUGCUGGAUGGCGUGAAGUGCAUCUUCGGCAUGCGCGUGUCGCUGCUGAUUCCCAGCAGCUGCAUGUCUACCGUGCCGGACACCAUCACAGCUGGCGGCGAAAACUUUGCGCAGCGCGUGUGCGGCCGUGGUGGGCAUGCGCCGACGCCGCAGGUGCUUGUGGACUCUUUAUUGAUCGCGGCCGGGGGAGAGGGGGGCUUGUGACGGCGCCGCACUGCGUUAUGUCGCGCAAUAUCGACCCAAAGGUGCUGCCUGCGCUGUCGAUCACGACGAGGACGACUGUGUCGAGCGAGAGUCACAACGUGAUCCCGGACGAGGUGGCGAUGCGGAGGACUGUCCGCUUGUGUAUGUGCGAGGCGCGUGAGUCUGCGCCUCGGAUGCUUGAAUAUGUCGCGACGGGUGUUGCUGCUGCGCACGGCGCGACGGCCGAGUUUCGCCUGAUCCGUGAGUACGUCGGUACAAUGAGCGAUGCAACAGGAGCUGCUGCGGCGCGUCGCGUCCUGGGCGAUGACAAGUAGAUUCCUCUUCUUCAGGCGAUGCUUUUUUGGCGAGGGUCUCUCCUCCUAUGUGGAGGAGACUCGCUUGCUCUGGCGCCUCCGUAUCCUGGCUCUCUCCUCAGGCCAGCAAGGGCGUGUGCCCCCGUCCCAGCGAUGAAGCCGACGUUUUCCCUUGUGUUUUUGCCAGCUUGAUGUACUUUUGUGCGCUGUUCUCGGGGACGUGACAGUGCGGCGAGGGCGGGGGAGGGGAGGUGGUCGAGCGCGCUCUCCUUAGCCCAUCGCAAGCGCUUGUUUUUGUGCGUGUGGGUGCGCCUUGUCGUUUCCAUUUCGUUGAUGCAAAGGCCCCCACCCCCUCACAAGCGACAUCAUGGGCGGCCCCGUCCCUCUUUCUCGUUAUUUCUACUGCCCGUGUCUCCAGAGCACGCUCCCCCCUCUUCAUACCUCAUGUGCCCGUGUAACUAUCUGUGCUCGAAGGAUGGGCGUCCCCGCACAUUCGUCAGCAUACAAGCAC